This is a long non-coding RNA of Stylophora pistillata, 1933 nucleotides long. Lineage: Eukaryota; Metazoa; Cnidaria; Anthozoa; Scleractinia; Pocilloporidae. The record is from RefSeq and is a predicted model, not a curated record.
GGCUAACGCUCGAAACGUCAGCUUUUGUAAUCGUUACGGUGGCCAAUUUACCAUUUCAACUUUGUUGAUAUAUCCAGUUUAAGACUAGGUUUAUUAGGGAUGGUUCUCGCUAGUUUAAACUUUGUUCAUGUUGGACAUACCUGUCUCACUUAAAAAAUUUAAUAAUAGUUCUCGGGGACCUUUAACGUUAGGGUAUCGUAUUUAAACAGAAUUUUAAAGGUGUAAAAUUGAAGUUCAGUGACAUUUAACAAUUAAAAGAUUGGUAACGUAAGUAAAUAUACCAAAAAGAUCUUUCGAUCGAUCGGUACCCUUCCGAAAUUUUUAAAAAAUAUGCCAUUCUUGUGUUUUUAUGAGUGCUAACAAGAUCAGGCGACUUGACUUUAGUUUUGGGCGACAUGAUUUCAGGCGAGAGGACUCGGGCGACUUGACCGGUUACCAGGUUACCAGCCAAAUGAUAGCGGCGCUGAUAACCUUAAAAGAGAAGUGGAAGCAGUUUUUAAUGAUGGUCCUCUCCUACAAUUGUUUCCUCUAGACGAGAAGCGUUUCAACUCAGCAAAAUAUCGUCAUGAUGAUCGACUGCUUUGCGUUUGAUGGUUAGCAGUCUAACAGAAACAUCAUAACAACGAAACAAUCCAAUUAAGCCGGGCAUGCCGAGCAUUUUUUUAAUUCGAACGGACACACUGCAGAGCACUAAAGGGAGCGAAGUAAGAAGUGUGGGUAAAGAAAGUAACUUAUUUAGGUUGAUUGUUUAAUCUUUUUAUAAUACCGCGCUAUUCUGCAUUAAAAAAAAAAAAGUAAGAAUCUCAAGGGACUUGAUAUUCCAUGGACCAUGGACCCAGUCCAAAGACUCAGCCUACCCCGAGUCUCCUACGGCUAAGUGGUAAAGCACUUGAAGUACUGUUUGGGGCUGCUUCGGUGGGAGUAACGAAAUAAUUUGGAUAUAUCAACAACGUUGAAAUGGCAUUAACACCAGCUUGAAAUACUGGUCGGAAGUUGGAAGGUUCGACUCCUUCAGGAAGCACUCAGAGUUCCAUUUCUCCGAGUUUCUCAACCUUGUCACUGAAAUAUUUUAGCGUCGCUCAAAAUAAUUUGGUAAUACUUAAACACCUCUUUCUUGCUGGGACAAGAACAGUAACACUAGCUUUCAACAUUGAAAAGGAAUGAAAAACAUGGUAUGGGAACGUAACUGCAGUUGAAAAAGAGAUGUUGAUCAAAAUAGCUUCUGGAGUGCUUACAGUACAGAUGAAACUCAAAAUUAAAGCGAUAUUUUAGAUGGCUGAGUUGUUCAACACAAUAUUUGUUAUUCUUACUUUUCUUUCAUGAGAGGAGGCUUCCACAACGCAAGAACCACCACAUAUUUACAUGGACCCGAGUGACUGGGUCUCAUCAUCACCCGAAAGCGAAAGCUUUGAGAGGGAAAAUUCCCUUCUGUUAUUCCGAUGGCAACUGAUCAAUAUCCAGCUACUUGGGUGCUGACAAGGAGAAUUUUUCAACACUCAAGAGUUCCUUUAGUUUGUGAUCAUUUCUGUUAUUCUCAGAACCUUAAUGGUUUAUUCACCAUUGAUACUGUGAGGAGAUACUAGAUGUCAAUCGCUCUUAGAGGUUAAAAAGUUGAGGCAUUUUUAAAAGGUACACAGCUAGUCUUAGUGUUUCAUUUAUUUUGUAACAACACCUCAGCGAUAUAGUAUCCUGUGAGGCGGCUACAAAAAAAAAAAAAAACAGGCCAAAAUACAGCCCGAUAUGAAACCAAGACUCUUGGAGUUUUCAAAACCACUCAACGUUGUUCAUAAAUAAAUAUUAUAAAGUCUUACGUCUUAGACUGUACUCUUACCUAUGGUAGCUCCGAUAUCAGAAUCAAAUGUGUCAUCAGUGAGCUUUAGAAGCAGGUCGUGAUUAGAAGUAGAUAGCAUUCAAAUAAAGAAGUUCACAAUAA